GAAACCAACAGGGAUUGCCUCAGUAACGGCGAGUGAAGCGGCAACAGCUCAAAUUUGAAAUCUGGCCUCACGGUCCGAAUUGUAAUUUGUAGAGGAUGUUUCGGGUGCCGGCACCGUUCUAAGUUCCUUGGAACAGGGCGUCAUAGAGGGUGAGAAUCCCGUACGUGACCGGUGGCCGAGCCCGUGUGAAACUCCUUCGACGAGUCGAGUUGUUUGGGAAUGCAGCUCAAAAUGGGUGGUAAAUUUCAUCUAAAGCUAAAUACCGGCCAGAGACCGAUAGCGCACAAGUAGAGUGAUCGAAAGAUGAAAAGCACUUUGGAAAGAGAGUUAAAAAGUACGUGAAAUUGUUGAAAGGGAAGCGCUUGCAGCCAGACUUGCCCGGGGGUGAUCAACCGUCUCUCGGGGCGGUGCACUCUCCCCCGAUCAGGCCAGCAUCGGUUUGGGCGGCUGGACAAAGGCCCGGGGAAUGUGGCUCGCUUCGGUGAGUGUUAUAGCCCCNGGUGCAAUGNAGCCAGCCCGGAUCGAGGACCGCGCUCCGGCUAGGAUGCUGGCGUAAUGGCUGUCAGCGACCCGUCUUGAANNNNNNNNNNNNNNNNNNNNNNNNNNNNNCGAGUGUUAGGGUGUCAAACCCUUGCGCGUAAUGAAAGUGAACGGAGGUGAGACGCCGCAAGGCCGCAUCAUCGACCGAUCCUGAUGUCUUCGGAUGGAUUUGAGUAUGAGCUUUGCUGGUCGGACCCGAAAGAUGGUGAUCUAUGCGUGAAUAGGGUGAAGUCAGAAGAAAUUCUGAUGGAGGCUCGCAGCGGUUCUGACGUGCAAAUCGAUCGUCAAAUUUGCGCAUAGGGGCGAAAGACUAAUCGAACCAUCUAGUAGCUGGUUCCUGCCGAAGUUUCCCUCAGGAUAGCAGUAACGUUUUCAGUUUUAUGAGGUAAAGCGAAUGUUUAGGGGCCUGGGGGAUGUAAUAUCCUUCACCCAUUCACAAACUUUAAAUAUGUAAGAAGUCCUUGUUACUUAGUUGAACGUGGACAUUUGAAUGCACCGUUACUAGUGGGCCAUUUUUGGUAAGCAGAACUGGCGAUGCGGGAUGAACCGAACGCGAGGUUAAGGUGCCGGAAUGCACGCUCAUCAGACACCACAAAAGGUGUUAAUUCAUCUAGACAGCCGGACGGUGGCCAUGGAAGUCGGAAUCCGCUAAGGAGUGUGUAACAACUCACCGGCCGAAUGAAUUAGCCCUGAAAAUGGAUGGCGCUCAAGCGUGCUACCCAUACCUCGCCGCCAGGGUAGAAACGAUGCCCUGGCGAGUAGGCAGGCGUGGAGGUCAG
This 1319-nucleotide ribosomal RNA is filed under the name Absconditella sphagnorum. RNAcentral describes it as "partial 28S large subunit ribosomal RNA". It matches the Rfam family "Eukaryotic large subunit ribosomal RNA", at positions 61 to 1401 of the family's 3401-position model. The record is from RNAcentral. Lineage: Eukaryota; Fungi; Ascomycota; Lecanoromycetes; Ostropales; Stictidaceae.